This 864-nucleotide ribosomal RNA is filed under the name uncultured Bacillota bacterium. RNAcentral describes it as "bacterial SSU rRNA". Lineage: Bacteria; Bacillati; Bacillota. The record is from RNAcentral.
GAGUUUGAUCAUGGCUCAGGACGAACGCUGGCGGCACGCCUAACACAUGCAAGUCGAACGGAGAUAUUUUGGUUUACUGAGAUAUCUUAGUGGCGGACGGGUGAGUAACACGUGAGCAACCUGCCUCUGAGAGAGGGAUAGCUUCUGGAAACGGAUGGUAAUACCUCAUAACAUAACGAAGCCGCAUGACUUUGUUAUCAAAGAUUUAUCACUCAGAGAUGGGCUCGCGUCUGAUUAGAUAGUUGGUGAGGUAACGGCUCACCAAGUCGACGAUCAGUAGCCGGACUGAGAGGUUGAACGGCCACAUUGGGACUGAGACACGGCCCAGACUCCUACGGGAGGCAGCAGUGGGGAAUAUUGCACAAUGGGGGAAACCCUGGUGCAGCGAUGCCGCGUGGAGGAAGAAGGUUUUCGGAUUGUAAACUCCUGUCUUAAAGGACGAUAAUGACGGUACUUAGGAGGAAGCUCCGGCUAACUACGUGCCAGCAGCCGCGGUAAUACGUAGGGAGCGAGCGUUGUCCGGAAUUACUGGGUGUAAAGGGAGCGUAGGCGGGAUGGCAAGUCAGAUGUGAAAACUAUGGGCUCAACCCAUAGACCGCAUUUGAAACUGUUGUUCUUGAGUGAAGUAGAGGUAAGCGGAAUUCCUGGUGUAGCGGUGAAAUGCGUAGAUAUCAGGAGGAACAUCGGUGGCGAAGGCGGCUUACUGGGCUUUUACUGACGCCGAGGCUCGAAAGCGUGGGGAGCAAACAGGAUUAGAUACUCUGGUAGUCACGCUGUAAACGAUGAUWCUAGGUGUGGGGGGGACUGACCCUUYCGUGCCGCAKUAAMRCAUAAGUAAUCCMCCUGGGAGUACGGUCGCAAGAU